This 468-nucleotide ribosomal RNA is filed under the name uncultured bacterium. Its description in RNAcentral is "partial 16S ribosomal RNA". It matches the Rfam family "Bacterial small subunit ribosomal RNA", at positions 28 to 507 of the family's 1533-position model. The record is from RNAcentral.
GACGAACGCUGGCGGCGUGCCUAACACAUGCAAGUCGAACGGACAGGCCCUGAUUUUGUGGCGUGCUCGUGUGCCGAACGGGUGAGUAACACGUGAGUAACAUGCCCUUGUCUUUGGGAUAACUUUAGGAAAAUCGGGCUCUUACCGGAUAGGAGAUCCUGCUGCACGGUGGGGGUUGGAAAGUUUCGGCGGUUGGGGAUGGUCUCGAGGCUUAUCAGCUUGUUGGUGGGGUAGUGGCUUACAAAGGCUGUGACGGGUAGGCGGCCUGAGAGGGUGACCGGCCUCAUUGGGACUGCGAGACGGACCAGACUCCUACGGGAGGCAGCAGGGGAGAAUAUUGCACAACGGGCGGAAGCCUGAUGCAGCAACGCCGCGUGCGGGAUGACGGCCUUCGGGGUGUAAACCGCCUUCGCCUGUGACGAAGCGUGAGUGACGGUAAUGGGUAAAAAAGCAACGGCUAACUACGUG